GAGACACCCUUAUGGGGUAGAACUUGCUCUAGUGGGGCUUUUGUGCUCACUGGGUCUGCUUCUUGAGUGUGUCCCU
Molecule: non-coding RNA, 76 nt
Organism: Myotis davidii
Lineage: Eukaryota; Metazoa; Chordata; Mammalia; Chiroptera; Vespertilionidae
Source: Rfam